RNAcentral lists this ribosomal RNA (301 nucleotides) under uncultured bacterium. RNAcentral's name for it is "partial 16S ribosomal RNA". It matches the Rfam family "Bacterial small subunit ribosomal RNA", at positions 509 to 807 of the family's 1533-position model. The record is from RNAcentral.
CAGUAGCCACGGUAAUACGUAGGUGGCAAGCGUUGUCCGGAAUUAUUGGGCGUAAAGGGCUCGCAGGCGGUUUCUUAAGUCUGAUGUGAAAGCCCCCGGCUCAACCGGGGAGGGUCAUUGGAAACUGGGAAACUUGAGUGCAGAAGAGGGGAGUGGAAUUCCACGUGUAGCGGUGAGAUGCGUAGAGAUGUGGAGGAACACCAGUGGCGAAGGCGACUCUCUGGUCUGUAACUGACGCUGAGGAGCGAAAGCGUGGGGAGCGAACAGGAUUAGAUACCCCCGUAGUCCCUGUCUCUUAUAC